AGUUGUAAAGCAAACAGUGUAGGUAUUGGAAGCCGUUCACACCUCCUUUCCGAGUAUCUGCACGCCUUGCUGGCCCAGAGCACAACACCCCCAUUGUGCUCCCCCGGCUCAGAAUCCAAGGAAAGAAAGGAAGCGAAGCCUCUGCAUUGAGUUCUAGGACAGCUGAGACACUUGGAUUGGACUUAAUCUUAAACCUCUGGAGUUCAAGACCUUUUAAAAGGGCUAAAUAAACAAUCUCUACAUGUAAAAGGCCACUGACUCCUACUUCCUCUGUAUAGAGCAACUGUUGAACUCAGCUGCCUGUAGGGCGUGAUUCUCAGUCACCAGACUCAGCUUGGAGAUCUUACAAUGAUGGCAAUCAGGAGACACUGAACGGAGAUGCUACAUAUUCCUCUCUUGCAGCAAAAGGUUUUAGAAACGUUCGACCAAACCUACAAGAUAAAAGAUCACCAACUCAGGCACCCCCUCCACCAGAAAGAAAAGAGAGCUUUCAUAGCUCUUUGAUAACCAGUCACACAAAGGGUGUCAUUUUAGACCAG
This 539-nucleotide small RNA is filed under the name Pan troglodytes (chimpanzee). RNAcentral's name for it is "processed transcript". The record is from RNAcentral. Lineage: Eukaryota; Metazoa; Chordata; Mammalia; Primates; Hominidae.